This 329-nucleotide unclassified non-coding RNA is filed under the name soil metagenome. Its description in RNAcentral is "partial contains 5.8S ribosomal RNA, internal transcribed spacer 2, and large subunit ribosomal RNA". The stretch from base 1 to 120 matches the Rfam family "5.8S ribosomal RNA", at positions 35 to 154 of the family's 154-position model. The record is from RNAcentral.
GAUGAAGAACGUAGCGAAAUGCGAUAAGUAGUGUGAAUUGCAGAAUUCAGUGAAUCAUCGAAUCUUUGAACGCACAUUGCGCCCCUUGGUAUCCCGAGGGGCAUGCCUGUUCGAGCCUCAUUUCACCACUCAAGCCUGGCUUGGUGUUGGGCGACGUCCCCUUUGGGGACGCGCCUCGAAACGCUCGGCGGCGUGGCACCGGCUUUAAGCGUAGCAGAAUCUUUCGCUUUGGAAGUCGGGGCCCCGUCUGCCGGAAGACCUACUCGCAAGGUUGACCUCGGAUCAGGCAGGGAUACCCGCUGAACUUAAGCAUAUCAAUAAGCGGAGGA